Molecule: ribosomal RNA, 752 nt
Filed under: uncultured Glomeromycotina
Lineage: Eukaryota; Fungi; Glomeromycota
Description: SSU rRNA
Rfam family: Eukaryotic small subunit ribosomal RNA
Source: RNAcentral
GGCCUACCAUGGUGGUAACGGGUAACGGGGUGUUAGGGCACGACACCGGAGAGGGAGCCUGAGAAACGGCUACCACAUCCAAGGAUGGCAGCAGGCGCGCAAAUUACCCAAUCCCGACACGGGGAGGUAGUGACAAUAAAUAACAAUACGGGGUUCUUUCGGAUCUCGUAAUUGGAAUGAGUACAAUUUAAAUCUCUUAACGAGGAACAAUUGGAGGGCAAGUCUGGUGCCAGCAGCCGCGGUAAUUCCAGCUCCAAUAGCGUAUAUUAAAGUUGUUGCAGUUAAAAAGCUCGUAGUUGAAUUUCGGGAUCAGAUUGUUGGUCGUGCCUCGGUACGCACUGGCAUUAUUGGUUCCUACCUUCUGAAGAACCGCGAUGUCAUUAAUUUGGUGUCGUGGGGAAUCAGGACUGUUACUUUGAAAAAAUUAGAGUGUUUAAAGCAGGCGCACGCUUGAAUACAUUAGCAUGGAAUAAUGAAAUAGGACGUUUGAUUCUAUUUCGUUGGUUUCUAGGAUCGACGUAAUGAUUAAUAAGGAUAGUUGGGGGCAUUAGUAUUCAAUUGUCAGAGGUGAAAUUCUUGGAUUUAUUGAAGACUAACUACUGCGAAAGCAUUUGCCAAGGAUGUUUUCAUUAAUCAAGAACGAAAGUUAGGGGAUCGAAGACGAUCAGAUACCGUCGUAGUCUUAACCAUAAACUAUGCCGACUAGGGAUCGGAUGAUGUUAAUUUUUUAAUGACUCAUUCGGCGCCUUACG